Molecule: ribosomal RNA, 1347 nt
Filed under: uncultured bacterium
Lineage: Bacteria
Description: bacterial SSU rRNA
Rfam family: Bacterial small subunit ribosomal RNA
Source: RNAcentral
GACGAACGCUGGCGGCGUGCUUAACACAUGCAAGUCGAACGAUGAAGCCUAGCUUGCUAGGUGGAUUAGUGGCGAACGGGUGAGUAAUACGUGAGUAACCUACCUUUAACUCUGGGAUAAGCCUGGGAAACUGGGUCUAAUACCGGAUACGACCAAUCUCCGCAUGGGGUGUUGGUGGAAAGCGUUAUGUAGUGGUUAUAGAUGGGCUCACGGCCUAUCAGCUUGUUGGUGAGGUAACGGCUCACCAAGGCGACGACGGGUAGCCGGCCUGAGAGGGUGACCGGCCACACUGGGACUGAGGCACGGCCCAGACUCCUACGGGAGGCAGCAGUGGGGAAUAUUGCACAAUGGGCGCAAGCCUGAUGCAGCGACGCCGCGUGAGGGAUGACGGCCUUCGGGUUGUAAACCUCUGUUAGCAGGGAAGAAGAGAGAUUGACGGUACCUGCAGAGAAAGCGCCGGCUAACUACGUGCCAGCAGCCGCGGUAAUACGUAGGGCGCGAGCGUUGUCCGGAAUUAUUGGGCGUAAAGAGCUUGUAGGCGGUUUGUCGCGUCUGCUGUGAAGGCCGGGGCUUAACCCCGUGUAUUGCAGUGGGUACGGGCAGACUAGAGUGCAGUAGGGGAGACUGGAAUUCCUGGUGUAGCGGUGGAAUGCGCAGAUAUCAGGAGGAACACCGAUGGCGAAGGCAGGUCUCUGGGCUGUAACUGACGCUGAGAAGCGAAAGCAUGGGGAGCGAACAGGAUUAGAUACCCUGGUAGUCCGUGCCGUAAACGUUGGGCACUAGGUGUGGGGGACAUUCCACGUUUUCCGCGCCGUAGCUAACGCAUUAAGUGCCCCGCCUGGGGAGUACGGCCGCAAGGCUAAAACUCAAAGAAAUUGACGGGGGCCCGCACAAGCGGCGGAGCAUGCGGAUUAAUUCGAUGCAACGCGAAGAACCUUACCAAGGCUUGACAUAUACUGGACCGCAUCAGAGAUGGUGUUUCCCUUCGGGGCUGGUAUACAGGUGGUGCAUGGUUGUCGUCAGCUCGUGUCGUGAGAUGUUGGGUUAAGUCCCGCAACGAGCGCAACCCUCGUUCUAUGUUGCCAGCACGUUAUGGUGGGGACUCAUAGGAGACUGCCGGGGUCAACUCGGAGGAAGGUGGGGAUGACGUCAAAUCAUCAUGCCCCUUAUGUCUUGGGCUUCACGCAUGCUACAAUGGCCGGUACAGAGGGUUGCGAUACUGUGAGGUGGAGCUAAUCCCUAAAAGCCGGUCUCAGUUCGGAUUGGGGUCUGCAACUCGACCCCAUGAAGUCGGAGUCGCUAGUAAUCGCAGAUCAGCAACGCUGCGGUGAAUACGUUCCCGGGCCU